Ficedula albicollis (Collared flycatcher) is the source of this 2745-nucleotide long non-coding RNA. NCBI's taxonomy places the organism in Eukaryota, Metazoa, Chordata, Aves, Passeriformes, Muscicapidae. The record is from Ensembl.
AUGAUAUUGCGCUGGUGGGGGAAUUGUUGGCGGAGAGGGAGGUUCGGGUUAUGGAGGAAGCUCAGGCAGGAGAGGCUCCAUGUCUGGAGGAGGAGGAAGCUCAGGUCACGGAGGAUCCAGUUAUGGCAGCGGUGGGUGCAUUGGUGGAGGAGAAGGGGGUUCAGGAUAUGGAGGAAGCUCCAGCAGGAGAGGAUCCAUGUCUGGAGGCGGUCACAGCUCCGGUGGAUAUGGAUCUGGCAGUGGCAGGUGCAGCCCCCACAGCAGUGGGAUCAGCUCUGGAGGUUGGAGCAGUUCUGGCAGGAGAGGCUCCAUGUCUGGAGGAGGAGGAGGAAGCUCAGGUCACGGAGGAUCCAGUUAUGGCAGUGGUGGGUGUGUUGGUGGAGGAGAAGGAGGCUCAGGGUUAUGGAGGAAGCUCAGGCAGGAGAGGCUCCAUGUCUGGAGAAGGAGGAAGCUCAGGCUGGGGGGGAUCUAGUUAUGGCAGUGGUGGGUGCAUUGGUGGGGGAGAAGGAGGCUCAGUGUGUGGAGGAGGGUCUGGAUAUGGGGGAGGCUCAGGGUACAGAGGAGGAAGCUCAGGCUGGAGAUCAGUCUCUGGAGGAGGAGGAAGCUCCAUCACCAGAGGUUGGGGAUCAAGCUCUGCUGGCACCUGCAGCCCUGGCAGGGUGGGGGAAGGAGGUUGGGAUUGCUCUGGAGGGGACAGUUAUUAUGGAAGUGGGACCUACGGAGAUUGCACACCCAGCUGCCAAGAAGAGACUGAGGAAUGCAGCUCAGGAGGAGGAUGGUCUUCUCCAAGACCAGGUUACUGGUCUGCCUAUGGAAGUGGCUCAGGUUCCUCUGGGGAUGCUGCCCACAAGUAAAACUUGGAAGCAAAAUCUCACCAGUGGAACAGGAUGAAGCCGUUGCCUCAUUGUUGGGGCAGUGGGACUUUCCUGCUGUCACCACUGGUCUGGACGGGCUGUGUGCCAUCCUGAGCUCUCCCUGCACAACCACCCCUGGAGUCUCCAUCCCACUCCUCUGCUGGAUGCUGAUAUUGUGACGGUGUCCCUUCCUUGGGCUUUCUCAGAACUUUUAGUCCCUGGCUGUCUGGAACCUUUAUCUUUGGCAACUAAAAGCUUGAAACGCUGUCUGGUAUGUUUGUUUUGGUCUGGGGGAGGGCAGGACUCUGAUGUCUCUGAUGAGAUGUUUGAUAUAACUUCCCAUGUAAACGAAUUCAUGGAAAUCUGAUCCAGGAAAAAGCUCCUGGAAAAAUUGAAAAAGUGGAAGAAAGUGGCUGGAAAAGAAUGACAAAUGCAGAUUGUCUGCUGUAAAAAUGGUGUUUAGGGUCAAGUCCUUUAGGUCUGGUCUGACCAGUCAGCCAGGACAUGUGGCUACACCUCAUAUCCAUCAUUCCCUCCAGGAGUCACUCAUUAAGUAAUUUGGGGGCAGAUCCUCUGUAUUGCUUUUCUGGGGGCACUGCAGCUGCAGAUGAAGAAAGGAGCAGAAAGUCUGGGAAUAACAGUGUCUCAUCUCACUUUUGGUUCAAGUUAAGGUGAGAUGGGGUGUAUCUGAGGAAAUAUUUCUUGGCCAACGUCUGAUUUUGGAGUUGUCGUGUGCAGGGUCAUGAGUUGGACUCAAUGAUUGUUGUGUGUCACUUCCAACUCAGGAUAUUCCACGAUUCUAUCAUCUUAUUCAGUGGUGAUUUUUAUCACAGGAAGCAAGAUACUCUCCAAAUUUCUUCCAGAACCUCCUUGAAGUCCAAUCAAAAGUUCUAACAAAGCACAGAGCAGCUGAUUUGAUGUCAAAAGUUUGUUCAAGAAGCUCAGUUUAAUAAUGUCACCCUUGUUUAGCAACAAUCCACUGAGAUAACUGGAGUGUCCCAAUCUCAUUAGGAAUAUUCCAUAUCGUUUCCCCAGCUGGUGGGAAGGAGGAUCCUCUCUUCCUGAAAGAAUUCCAACUGUGAAGAGUCCUGGAAGGAGCAGGAGGGUGAGGGGGAGAGACACAGAUUUCUGGGAAAUCCACUGUGGAGACUCUUUUGCAAAGGACUGUAGAGCCACAGAAACAACAAUGGAGUGUUAAUAGAAUUAUGGAACUAUUUUGAUUGAUCAUUAAUAGUAAUUUUCCUUCACUGGGGGCUCCAAGAGAGCUGGGGAGGGACUUGGAAAGAAGUGAUGGGACAAGGGUGGGUUAGGGGAUGGAAGAGGGGAGGGUUAGGCGGGUCAUUGAGAAGAAGCUCUUCCCUGUGAGAGUGGUGAGGCCCUGGAAUGGAUUUCCCAUCCCUGGAAGUGUCCAAGGCCAGGUUGGAUGGCACUUGGAGCAGCCUGGGAUCAGCGGAAGAUGCCCCUGCCCACGGCAGGGGGUGGAACAGGACGGACCCCAAGGUCCCUCCCACCCCAAUGCAUUCCGUGGUUCCAUGUGGAGCCACCAGGGGCUAAAUCAAACCCUUGCAGCAAAGUCUGGAAACACUUUGGAAUCUCUGCAUGGAGGGAGCUCCAGACACUGUAGUUCAGUCAAAACCGGCACCAGCUGCGUUCAGCUUCAUGGCUUUAAAGAGGCUUCAGGAUCCAGGAGAAACCUCAGGAUGCAAAUGAAAACCACUGCAUCGUCACAAUCCUGUUUUGAUCCAAGGGAUUAGGCGCUAAUUCAGGCAAAACCUCGUCUUUUAUGAUAAAAAGUGGAGUGAUUCUGCACAGUGUGGAGGGUCACAGGGCUUUGGUUUCACUGAUAAAUUAAUUGUGCAGCCAGGGUGUUUCUCAUCUCUAAUUGGAGGAA